GACGAACGCUGGCGGCGUGCUUAACACAUGCAAGUCGAACGAGAAUCUGCGGAAAGAGGAUUCGUCCAAUUGAAGCAGAGGACAGUGGCGGACGGGUGAGUAACGCGUGAGGAACCUGCCUUUCAGAGGGGGACAACAGUUGGAAACGACUGCUAAUACCGCAUAACAUAUAGAUGUCGCAUGGCAUUUAUAUCAAAGAUUUAUCGCUGAAAGAUGGCCUCGCGUCUGAUUAGCUAGUUGGUGAGGUAACGGCCCACCAAGGCGACGAUCAGUAGCCGGACUGAGAGGUUGAACGGCCACAUUGGGACUGAGAUACGGCCCAGACUCCUACGGGAGGCAGCAGUGGGGAAUAUUGGGCAAUGGGCGCAAGCCUGACCCAGCAACGCCGCGUGAAGGAAGAAGGCUUUCGGGUUGUAAACUUCUUUUGUCAGGG
Molecule: ribosomal RNA, 433 nt
Filed under: uncultured bacterium
Lineage: Bacteria
Description: bacterial SSU rRNA
Rfam family: Bacterial small subunit ribosomal RNA
Source: RNAcentral